This 308-nucleotide long non-coding RNA is filed under the name Erythranthe guttata (spotted monkey flower). RNAcentral describes it as "long non-coding RNA (EGUT_LNC000133)". Lineage: Eukaryota; Viridiplantae; Streptophyta; Magnoliopsida; Lamiales; Phrymaceae. The record is from RNAcentral.
CACCACAAAACAUCAUUCAUAGCGCUCCAAAAACGCUAUGGUAGAAUUUCAUAGCGCUUUUACAAACGCUAUGUCUGCCGGAGCUAUAAUAGACCCCGAUGUUUCUAUAGCGUUUACUAAACGCUAUCUCAUAACGUAAUUACAUAGCGUUUAUUUUGCGUUACUGUUCAUCCUUUUUAUAGCACUUUCUAUAUGCCAUUGUUUAAUCACCAACGCUAUCAUACAUCAUUUUAUGGCACGUUGUAUGAGCUAUUAUUGAACUAAUAAAAGCAUUUUAUAAACGCUGUGUUACAUUAAGUUUUACUACA